Molecule: ribosomal RNA, 230 nt
Filed under: uncultured bacterium
Lineage: Bacteria
Description: partial 16S ribosomal RNA
Rfam family: Bacterial small subunit ribosomal RNA
Source: RNAcentral
GAUCCUGGCUCAGGAUGAACGCUAGCUACAGGCUUAACACAUGCAAGUCGAGGGGCAGCGGGAUUGAAGCUUGCUUCAAUUGCCGGCGACCGGCGCACGGGUGAGUAACGCGUAUCCAACCUUCCGUACACUCAGGGAUAGCCUUUCGAAAGAAAGAUUAAUACCUGAUGGUAUGAUGAGAUUGCAUGAUAGCAUCAUUAAAGAUUUAUCGGUGUACGAUGGGGAUGGCG